CACACAGAGAGCCAGGCCAAGAAAGCCCUGCGUACCCUGAGCCAUAGUUGUGAGACAGUCGGGAGGUGAGCUGGGGCAUGACGGGGCUGGAGACCGCCGGGGGCCAGGCCCACCCACACUGCAGGUUGCUGUGCUCAGCGAAUUGUGCUCAGUGGGUGCCUGGUCCGGAAUAAGGAUGAUCCCGCAAACAUCCGUCAGAGAGGUGCUGGCCGCUGCCUUGGGGAGCCUUAGCCUGCGGUGUCAGGCCCGCCCCAGCCUUGGGCAGAGACCCAGGCUGCCCCGAGGGCACUGCUGCAGCCUGGAUUGCUGAUGUGUCCCCACUGUGGCCCAUGCACUGGAGCAGGUUGCAGGCUUCAUGAUAAUAAGUGUAGGUAAUGUGUCAAGUAACAAUGAUACAUUUAAUGGUUUUUAUUAGAAAUCAUAUGAGUAAAAAUGAGUUAUAGCCAUCAUUUCCGAAGCACUGUGCAGCACACUUGUUCUAACUGAGCACCCAUGGGUGUGGGGCAUUGGUCUUGUCCUUUGUCCUCCUUGGUCCCUCGCGAAGGGUCCCCACCCCGGGAAUCCUGGGAGCCUGAGGAGUGAGGACCGGACGGAGGCUGUUCCGGUGUGGAUCUGGCUCGUCUCUGCUGUCCCAGAUCCACGCAGCCCUGAAGGGAACUGAGCCUCCGAGCCUGCAAGUGUAAAGGUAUGGGCUAGGCGGGAUGCUGGUUCGAGAGAGCAGAACCAAAAAUACUGCUUCUGUCUUCCGCUCCAGAAUGGAUUUGGGAUCAAGUCAAGCAAAUGAGGGUCGGGCACCAGAUUGGCAGACAUCGAAGUGCUGCGUGUCCUCCUCCCUGCAGCACGUGCAGAGCUGGCUCGAUGCACCAGUGAGGGUGGGCUGUGCUGAGCUCAGUGACAGGCAGGUCCAGGAACCCCAGGGCCUUAGCACUAGCCAUCUGUCUACUCCUGGCUUCUGAAAGCGCAGGGCAGUGGACGGGACUGGGCUGUUCAGCCUGAUUGGUUACUCAGGGUCCAGAGCUGCGGCCUCUACAGCAAGAUUCCAGGGGGUGGGGGACAGAGGAGAUGCCCCUGUCCUCAUCUGCUCCACCUGGGUGACACACUGUCAGGCCACCCUGGGAGGAGGGGCUGGAAUGCGCAGAGCUAGCACACAGAGCCGAGGGGCCUUCCUCUGGCUUCCUCAGCAGUUGUCAGUGCAGGAGUCCUCUGCUCCUCUCCUGGGAAGAUGGCGCUGCUCCCACAGCUUCUGGGAGGGGAACUAGAGCCCUCUCUGCCUGGGCUCUGGAGUGUGCUUCACCUACAGGCUGCAGACUGCAGGCUACCAUGGAUGAGGCCGCCCAGCUGUGCCCACCCCUCGGGAGCAACGCGGUGUGAGGGCUCCUUUCGUGCUAGCAGUCAGGCAUUGAGGAGGCCCCGUUCUGCCCCUCACUGAUGGUGUCCCCGGGACCUGCUUGCAUCCCUGAACCCCGACCUCUCAGCUCUGCAGUGAGGGCUGCAGCUGUGCACACGUUGCUUCGGGGAACAGGAAGCUGGGUCUGUACGCGUGUGCACCGCCGUGGUGUCAUCACCUCUCGUCCCUGGUGCAAACUCUGUCUCAUGGGACUCCAGCUGUAGUGGCUUCCAAGCCCAAGAUCCAGCAGCCCGCUCCCUACCCUGGAACCUGAGCAUCAUGCGCCUCACUUCAGGCCCAUGAGGCCAAGCAGCUGCCCUUUCGUCCUGACCCCCGUGUCCCUUCCUCUCCACCCUCUGCUUUUACCCAAGUUCUGCAGGCUCUGGGGGCCACUUGUUUCCCCCCAGAACCCUGGGGCAAGCACCUCCCCACUUUUAUCUUGGGAACCAAAAGCCCCGGCCUCUUUCAGGGGCAGCAUUUCCUUUCUGCUGGGCUGGAGAGACUGUGCCCGGGACCCCCCAUCCCUGAGCUGCUACAGCUUCAGUGCCCGGGCUGAGAGCCAGG
Molecule: long non-coding RNA, 1951 nt
Organism: Heterocephalus glaber (naked mole-rat)
Lineage: Eukaryota; Metazoa; Chordata; Mammalia; Rodentia; Bathyergidae
Source: Ensembl